Molecule: unclassified non-coding RNA, 280 nt
Filed under: Hevea brasiliensis (rubber tree)
Lineage: Eukaryota; Viridiplantae; Streptophyta; Magnoliopsida; Malpighiales; Euphorbiaceae
Source: RNAcentral
AGACUUAGAUGACAAGAGAAAUGGAGUCUGAGAGAGGAGAAAUCUUGUUAUUGAUUCAUCAACUGGAAUGAGUGAAUACAAGUGAGUUUCUUCCUAUUUAACAAGUAGCAUAACUGCUGUCUAACUUAAUAAGCUGUCUCAAUUGAUUCUUUAACAGACUAAUAGCUUUCCCCCCCAAAUUCUAUUCUAUCCAACCCUCCCAAUUUCUCUCUCUUUAAUUUUCUUCCCUUUCCUAUAAUUGUAAUAAUAUAUUCCCUAAGAGAAUCUUCUUGUCCCCAAG